AAAAACACACACACAUU
RNAcentral lists this microRNA (17 nucleotides) under Corchorus capsularis. Its description in RNAcentral is "sRNA CCACVL1_13904". The record is from RNAcentral. Lineage: Eukaryota; Viridiplantae; Streptophyta; Magnoliopsida; Malvales; Malvaceae.